UUUUGCAUGCACUUUUCAAAAUGAUUGACUUAAGCUUCCUGACUGAAGAGGAACAAGAGGCCAUCAUGAAGGUUUUGCAGCGGGAUGCUGCUCUGAAGAGGGCCGAAGAAGAGAGAGUCAGACAUUUGCCUGAAAAAAUUAAGGAUGACCAGCAGCUGAAGAAUAUGAGUGGCCAAUGGUUUUAUGAAGCCAAGGCAAAAAGGCACAGGGACAAAAUCCAUGGUACAGAUAUCAUCAGAGCAUCUAUGAGAAAGAAGAGGCCCCAGGUAGCAGCUGAGCAGAGUAAAGACAGAGCAAAUGGGGCAAAGGAAAGCUGGGUGAAUAAUGUCAACAAAGAUGCUUUCCUUCCUCCAGAGCUGACUGGCGUUGUAGAAGAGCCAGAAGAAGAUGCAGCACCAGCAAGCCCGAGUUCCCGUGUGGUAAAUCUAGCUUCCAGUGUGAUUGAUAUGUCCCAGGAAAACACAAGGAAACCAAAUGUGUCUCCAGAGAAGAGGAAGAAUCCGUUUAAUAGCUCCAAGUUGCCAGAAGGUCACUUGUCGCAACAAACUAAAAAUGAACAGUCAAAAAAUGGAAGAACUGGUUUAUUUCAGACUUCAAAAGAGGAUGAAUUGUCAGAGUCAAAAGAAAAGUCAACUGUCACAGAUACUUCAAUCCAAAAGUUAGAGAAAUCAAAGCAGACUUUGCCAGGCCUUUCAAAUGGGUCCCAAAUCAAGGCUCCAAUCCCCAAAGCUAGGAAGAUGCUCUACAAAUCGACUGAUUUAAACAAAGAUGAUAACCAGUCUUUUCCUAGACAGAGGACAGACUCCCUUAAAGCGAGAGGGGCUCCAAGAGGGAUCCUCAAGCGCAACUCCAGUUCCAGUAGCACAGACUCAGAAACCCUUCGUUAUAAUCACAACUUUGAACCCAAAAGCAAAAUUGUGUCACCUGGCCUAACCAUCCAUGAGAGAAUUUCUGAGAAGGAGCAUUCUUUAGAAGACAACUCUUCCCCAAACUCCCUGGAACCAUUAAAGCACGUGAGAUUCUCUGCAGUGAAGGAUGAGCUUCCACAGAGUCCUGGGUUAAUCCAUGCUCGGGAAGUAGGAGAAUUUAGUGUUUUAGAAUCUGACAGAUUGAAAAAUGGAACGGAAGAUGCAGGGGACACAGAAGAGUUUCAGAGUGACCCUAAGCCUUCUCAAUACAGAAAGCCUUUGCUUUUUCAUCAAUCAACCUCAAGCCCAAAUGUAUCAAAAAGUGAGAUACAUCAGCCAAUGACUUCUGGUUCUUUUCCAAUUAAUGGGCUGCAUUCUCAUUCAGAAGUUUUAACUGCAAGACCACAGUCCAUGGAGAAUUCAUCAACCAUCAAUGAACCCAAAGAUAAAUCACCAGAAUUAACAAGGCUUGAGUCUAUAUUACCCAGAAGCCCUGCUGGUAAGAGAAUUGUCACUACUAGAUUAUAAAAACU
This 1441-nucleotide small RNA is filed under the name Pongo abelii (Sumatran orangutan). RNAcentral's name for it is "retained intron". Lineage: Eukaryota; Metazoa; Chordata; Mammalia; Primates; Hominidae. The record is from RNAcentral.